Molecule: ribosomal RNA, 923 nt
Filed under: Staphylococcus aureus
Lineage: Bacteria; Bacillati; Bacillota; Bacilli; Caryophanales; Staphylococcaceae
Description: bacterial SSU rRNA
Rfam family: Bacterial small subunit ribosomal RNA
Source: RNAcentral
UGCAGUCGAGCGACGGACGAGAAGCUUGCUUCUCUGAUGUUAGCGGCGGACGGGUGAGUAACACGUGGAUAACCUACCUAUAAGACUGGGAUAACUUCGGGAAACCGGAGCUAAUACCGGAUAAUAUUUUGAACCGCAUGGUUCAAAAGUGAAAGACGGUCUUGCUGUCACUUAUAGAUGGAUCCGCGCUGCAUUAGCUAGUUGGUAAGGUAACGGCUUACCAAGGCAACGAUGCAUAGCCGACCUGAGAGGGUGAUCGGCCACACUGGAACUGAGACACGGUCCAGACUCCUACGGGAGGCAGCAGUAGGGAAUCUUCCGCAAUGGGCGAAAGCCUGACGGAGCAACGCCGCGUGAGUGAUGAAGGUCUUCGGAUCGUAAAACUCUGUUAUUAGGGAAGAACAUAUGUGUAAGUAACUGUGCACAUCUUGACGGUACCUAAUCAGAAAGCCACGGCUAACUACGUGCCAGCAGCCGCGGUAAUACGUAGGUGGCAAGCGUUAUCCGGAAUUAUUGGGCGUAAAGCGCGCGUAGGCGGUUUUUUAAGUCUGAUGUGAAAGCCCACGGCUCAACCGUGGAGGGUCAUUGGAAACUGGAAAACUUGAGUGCAGAAGAGGAAAGUGGAAUUCCAUGUGUAGCGGUGAAAUGCGCAGAGAUAUGGAGGAACACCAGUGGCGAAGGCGACUUUCUGGUCUGUAACUGACGCUGAUGUGCGAAAGCGUGGGGAUCAAACAGGAUUAGAUACCCUGGUAGUCCACGCCGUAACGAUGAGUGCUAAGUGUUAGGGGUUUCCGCCCCUUAGUGCUGCAGCUAACGCAUUAAGCACUCCGCCUGGGGAGUACGACCGCAAGGUUGAAACUCAAAGGAAUUGACGGGGACCCGCACAAGCGGUGGAGCAUGUGGUUUAAUUCGAAGCAACGCGA